AGUCUAGGCGGAUUGAUAAGUCAGAAGUGAAAGCCCCGGGCUCAACCCGGGAAGUGCUUUUGAUACUGUCGAUCUUGAGUGUGGGAGAGGAUAGUAGAAUUCCUGGUGUAGUGGUGAAAUACGUAGAUAUCAGGAGGAACACCGGUGGGGAAGCCGGCUGUCUGGCCCAACACUGACGCUCAGACCCGAAAGCGUGGGGAGCAAACAGGAUUAGAUACCCUGGUAGUCC
RNAcentral lists this ribosomal RNA (229 nucleotides) under uncultured bacterium. RNAcentral's name for it is "partial 16S ribosomal RNA". It matches the Rfam family "Bacterial small subunit ribosomal RNA", at positions 568 to 796 of the family's 1533-position model. The record is from RNAcentral.